This 95-nucleotide microRNA precursor is filed under the name Canis lupus familiaris (dog). RNAcentral's name for it is "mir-8799 microRNA precursor family". It matches the Rfam family "mir-8799 microRNA precursor family". The record is from Rfam by way of RNAcentral. RNAcentral also lists the same sequence under 1 other name. Lineage: Eukaryota; Metazoa; Chordata; Mammalia; Carnivora; Canidae.
GGGGGAGCGCAGGAUCCUGGGCUGUGUCCCCUGGCACCCUGAGAUCCAGGGCCUGCGCUGCUGGAAUCGGGCUCUCGGGUGCCGUGCAGCCCCCU